UGCAGUCGAACGAGAAGGUACCUUCAGGUACUGGACAGUGGCGCACGGGUGAGUAACGCGUGGGAACCUGCCCUGAGGUACGGGAUAACGGCUGGAAACGGCCGCUAAUACCGUAUGUCCCCUGCGGGGGAAAGAUUUAUCGCCUUGGGAGGGGCCCGCGUCCGAUUAGCCUGUUGGUGAGGUAAUGGCUCACCAAGGCAUCGAUCGGUAGCUGGUCUGAGAGGAUGAUCAGCCACACUGGGACUGAGACACGGCCCAGACUCCUACGGGAGGCAGCAGUGGGGAAUAUUGGACAAUGGGGGCAACCCUGAUCCAGCAAUGCCGCGUGUGUGAUGAAGGCCUUAGGGUUGUAAAGCACUUUCACUGGUGAAGAUGAUGACGGUAGCCAGAGGAGAAGCCCCGGCUAACUCCGUGCCAGCAGCCGCGGUAAU
RNAcentral lists this ribosomal RNA (431 nucleotides) under uncultured Nisaea sp. RNAcentral describes it as "bacterial SSU rRNA". It matches the Rfam family "Bacterial small subunit ribosomal RNA", at positions 56 to 524 of the family's 1533-position model. The record is from RNAcentral. Lineage: Bacteria; Pseudomonadati; Pseudomonadota; Alphaproteobacteria; Rhodospirillales; Thalassobaculaceae.